UUAUGAUCACCGAAGCUAAGCAACGUCGAGCCUGGUUAGUACAUUGAUGGCUGACCGCUUGAGAAUACCAGGUGUUGUAAA
This is a non-coding RNA of Acanthosepion pharaonis, 81 nucleotides long. NCBI's taxonomy places the organism in Eukaryota, Metazoa, Mollusca, Cephalopoda, Sepiida, Sepiidae. The record is from the annotation of a GenBank genome assembly.